Molecule: ribosomal RNA, 1430 nt
Filed under: Triticum aestivum (bread wheat)
Lineage: Eukaryota; Viridiplantae; Streptophyta; Magnoliopsida; Poales; Poaceae
Description: partial small subunit ribosomal RNA
Source: RNAcentral
AUGUCGGUACUUGCACCUCUUGUUGGUUACCAAAUGGCCGACGGUCGUCGGUUUUUGGAGCGAUUUCCUUUUCUUAGCAAGCCAGGUUGUUCGAGUCGCGUGUGCCAACGAGACCUUACCGCCCAUCACAUCCGUCCAAAUAUACAAGCUAAAGUUUACCCACCGUUGUAUGCUUAUAUGCAUCUUUAUAAAAUCUCACAUCUAAGUGAGUAAAACGAAACAUACAUCAGUGAACAAUUUUACAGAUCUUUCUGUUUAUAAACUUUUACCUCCUUCAUCAAAUAUGUUCUUUUUACAUAUAGAUCAACCUCGUGAUUUUUUUCAACCAUGAGGCAUGUACGUAUCCAUCAGAUGCCAGCAGACUAGUGAGUGUUUCAAACUACGAACGAACAACUGUGUAAUCGGGCACUUUCACACUUUUGCAAGCGCUGAAAUGUUCAAUGUUGUUUGGUGUGCCUGUUGGCAAAAGAUACGUCGAGGGGAGUGGGUGAGCGGGUUGGGGAUGGGCAGAGAAUAGGUAAGGUCACUGACUCUCAGUCUCCUCUACACCGUCGCUGUGGCUAGACGAGCGCCGCCGGUACCACCCAGAACGCCGCACCCUGUCGACGAAGGCCGCAGGCUGCCGUCGUGCGUAGGGGGUUUCGGGCUGGACGAGUUCGAUGCGCGUCGAGCAGGUGGAAGGUGAGUUUCGCUGUUGCCGCCGGCGCCUCCUGGUCACCGUCGGUACCGACCAGAGCUAAGCUGCACGGCGCCGUCCCGAUCCGCGCACAUCCGACGAGCCGUAGUCGCCGGCUGUCGCGCGUGGACACGUUCCUCCAGGAGCAGCUUCUUAUAGUCUCGGCGGAACAAGAACUUGAGUGUCUCCUCGUACACCAGCGGGAGACCCAGGAACAUGACCGCUCCACUGCUUAGCCACUGGUGCGAGGCCCCGCUCGCUCCGGCCCCACGUGCUGCUCGGUUCAGCGAUAGGACCCGAGACAUUAACCUUUAAAGCCCGGCUCGCUCGUGUAGGCCAACCAAUCGACCGCGGAACCGCCCUCGACGACGACGAGGAGCGACCCUUGUUGGUGGUAUAGGAGUCCGCCGCCAUCGCUGAGCAAGCACACGCGCGACCCGGCCUCGCAGUGCCCGCGGUAGUGCCGCUGGUGUGGUUCGCGUUCCCGGAACCCUUGUCGGUCUACGGGGAUGUGAUGUUCGAAAGAGUCUUCUACCGUAAUCCAUCACAAGAAAGUGCCGUGAUGAUAGAUAAAGUACUCCUUGGUGAACCGUCUAGACAUCCUAGCGUUACAAGUCGGACCGAAGUUAGAAACUAGACUAGUUUAGCUCACGCCGGUGGCGGGAAACGGACGUCCACUGGCGGCGGCGGCGGCGGCCUCUUUGAGCGGAGGCGUGGGCGUGCGGAGUCUAGGCGACCUAGGCUCUACUACUCC